UGUAUUAAAGACAGGAAUUAGGCUCCUUGGGUAAACACUUGCCUCUAAGUUCUGUCAAAACCUUUUGUCAAGACCUUGAAUAUGACUGCAAUAAGAUGCAUCUCUUGUUGCCUCUACACAGCCUACCACUAACAACGAAGAACACAGUCAGCCCUACAGUCAAAACUUCAGAAGAAAGCCCCACAGAUUCUUAAGGAGUAUGAGACUACAGGUAUCCUGUCAGUGCCAUCGAGGAAGCUUCUUGGGAAGACUUACAUAAGAGAUUUGGUGGAGAGUUACCCUCUUAGUGCAGAAAAGCUGGCUGCAGCGAAAAGCAUCAUCACCACCUUCCCAUCACUGAGUGUCUGAGUAGAAGGACAAGGGGAAGGAUUUUUAGACAUAUACCAUGUGUACUCCACCAUCUCUGAGGAGCUACCUGCAUCAUCCCUGAAGUACAUGGUGUACAGCACCCUGCAGGCACAUUGAAAAACAUUUUUUAUACUGUAUAGAGACUUUUUAAACGUGUCAUUUCUAAACUUGUAUUUUUUGGCGUAUAACUUUGUCAUUGUCAUUUCUCUGCAAGUAAAGCACAGAAACCUUGUAUGUUUCUGCAGUACUGAAAUAAAAAAUAGGCAGUCUACAGUAGUGAACUACUUCACAGGUCAAACUGACUGCAGUAUUUCUUGUAAA
This is a long non-coding RNA of Micropterus salmoides (largemouth bass), 669 nucleotides long. RefSeq lists it as uncharacterized. NCBI's taxonomy places the organism in Eukaryota, Metazoa, Chordata, Actinopteri, Centrarchiformes, Centrarchidae. The transcript is spliced from 3 exons. The record is from RefSeq and is a predicted model, not a curated record.